RNAcentral lists this ribosomal RNA (385 nucleotides) under Eukaryota sp. RNAcentral's name for it is "partial small subunit ribosomal RNA". It matches the Rfam family "Eukaryotic small subunit ribosomal RNA", at positions 582 to 975 of the family's 1831-position model. The record is from RNAcentral.
AUUCCAGCUCCAAUAGCGUAUAUUAAAGUUGUUGCAGUUAAAAAGCUCGCAGUUGGAUUUCAGUCUAGGAAGGUUAACUCGCCGAAAGGUUGUACGUUGAUUUUCCUCAGACUUCGUCAGAAGCUCGUGCUGCACUUAACUGUGUGGUACGAUGUUCUGACCUUUUACCUUGAGGAAAGUAGAGUGUUUCGAGCAGGCUACCCAGCUUGAAUACAUUAGCAUGGAAUAAUGAAAUGGAUCUCGGUUCGAUUUCGUUGGUUCUAGAGCUGAGGUGAUGAUCAAUAGGAACAGGCGAAGGUAUUCGUACUUGAGAGUGAGGAGUGAAAUCCGAUGAUCUCUUAAAGACGAUCCGAGGCGAAAGCAUUUGUCAAGGAUGUUUUCAUUG